UAUACCUACGGGAGGCAGUAGUGGGGAAUAUUGGGCAAUGGGCGCAAGCCUGACCCAGCAACGCCGCGUGAAGGAAGAAGGCUUUCGGGUUGUAAACUUCUUUUCUCAGGGACGAAGCAAGUGACGGUACCUGAGGAAUAAGCCACGGCUAACUACGUGCCAGCAGCCGCGGUAAUACGUAGGUGGCAAGCGUUAUCCGGAUUUACUGGGUGUAAAGGGCGUGUAGGCGGGGACGCAAGUCAGAUGUGAAAACCACGGGCUCAACCUGUGGCCUGCAUUUGAAACU
Molecule: ribosomal RNA, 286 nt
Filed under: uncultured bacterium
Lineage: Bacteria
Description: partial 16S ribosomal RNA
Rfam family: Bacterial small subunit ribosomal RNA
Source: RNAcentral